UUUGAUUUGGGUCACCCAUCUCUCAAAUUCGGAUCGUAUAUAUUCUCUUUCUCAUACCACACCACGUAUUACAUCCACUUUCCUGAAACCCUAAAUCCCAAAAUACCGAUUCUCCUUCGAUUGUUCUUCGCCGGUUCAUCAUUCUCAAUGGCCAGUGGGCGCUAGGGUUACGCCGUGAACCCUUGAUAACGACGGAAUUGCAUGAGACAAUCGAAGCUUUAUUCAUAUCACAAACCCUAUAGCUUAAUUUAUGAGAUUCAUUUUUCAAAGAUCGACGAUCUGUGGAUGCUUUUGGUUUCUGGAACGACUUUUGAAGAGAUCUCCACAUGGUGAACUCAUGCUUAUCAGUUAAUGGCGAAAAUAUGGGAUGUACUAACACCUAAGAUAAGAAGAAAGGCAUUGUCUUGUGUUAUUAUGGCGAGGCUAUGGCUGAAAAGAAAUGAUAAAGUAUUUAGGGGUGGAAACUGCACAACAGGGAGGAUGCUUCAAGACAUAAAAGAAACUACAUAUCUGUGGUUAAGGAGCAGACCAAAAAUUGAGAAUAUAACUUUAUUGGGUUGGGUUAUUGGUGGAAUAAAUGUAAUAUGUGACUGAAUUCUUUUAUGUACUACUCUCCCAGUAUCUUGCUGGUAGGGUCCUUUGGUUUUGUUGAAUAAACGGCAACACAUUUGUGUGGAGGGUGGUCCGUCUUCAUUAGUAUGCAAGAUAUGUGAAGCGGAGGACGAAUCUGCUGCACAUGUUUUGCUGAAAUGUCGGUUUGCUGGUGCAAUCUGGACACACACAGGUACUCGGGUGGAUGAACGGAAACAUGGGUCAAAAGGAGUAAUUUUUUGGUACAAGUUA
RNAcentral lists this long non-coding RNA (843 nucleotides) under Helianthus annuus (common sunflower). Lineage: Eukaryota; Viridiplantae; Streptophyta; Magnoliopsida; Asterales; Asteraceae. The record is from RNAcentral.